RNAcentral lists this ribosomal RNA (459 nucleotides) under uncultured bacterium. RNAcentral's name for it is "partial 16S ribosomal RNA". It matches the Rfam family "Bacterial small subunit ribosomal RNA", at positions 338 to 795 of the family's 1533-position model. The record is from RNAcentral.
CCUACGGGAGGCUGCAGUGAGGAAUAUUGGUCAAUGGCCGCAGGGCUGAACCAGCCAAGUCGCGUGAGGGAUGACGGUCCUAUGGAUUGUAAACCUCUUUUGUCAGGGAGCAAAGGGCGCCACGUGUGGCGCUUUGCGAGUACCUGAAGAAAAAGCAUCGGCUAACUCCGUGCCAGCAGCCGCGGUAAUACGGAGGAUGCGAGCGUUAUCCGGAUUUAUUGGGUUUAAAGGGUGCGCAGGCGGAAUGUCAAGUCAGCGGUAAAAUUUCGGGGCUCAACCCCGUCGUGCCGUUGAAACUGGCGUUCUUGAGUGAGCGAGAAGUAUGCGGAAUGCGUGGUGUAGCGGUGAAAUGCAUAGAUAUCACGCAGAACUCCGAUUGCGAAGGCAGCAUACCGGCGCUCAACUGACGCUCAUGCACGAAAGCGUGGGUAUCGAACAGGAGUAGAUACCCCAGUAGUC